Molecule: ribosomal RNA, 805 nt
Filed under: uncultured marine microorganism
Description: bacterial SSU rRNA
Rfam family: Bacterial small subunit ribosomal RNA
Source: RNAcentral
AGAGUUUGAUCAUGGCUCAGGACGAACGCUGGCGGUGCGCCUUAUGCAUGCAAGUCGAGCGAAGCUUUUCAGUAGUUUACUACAGAAAAUGACUGAGCGGCGAACGGGUGAGUAACGCGUGAGCAACCUACCUUAGUUACUGGGAUAGCCCGAGGAAACUCGGAUUAAUACCGGAUAUUCUUAUUUAAUCACAUGAUUUUUUAAGGAAAGGUUAGCCGAACUAAGAUGGGCUCGCGUUCUAUCAGCUAGUUGGUAGGGUAAUGGCCUACCAAGGCUACGACGGAUAGCUGGUCUGAGAGGACGAUCAGCCACACUGGGACUGAGACACGGCCCAGACUCCUACGGGAGGCUGCAGCAGGGAAUAUUGCGCAAUGAGCGAAAGCUUGACGCAGCGACACCGCGUGUGGGAUGACGGAUCUAGGUUUGUAAACCACUUUCAGGAGGGAAGAAAAUGACGGUACCUCCACAAGAAGCCCCGGCCAACUACGUGCCAGCAGCCGCGGUAAUACGUAGGGGGCGAGCGUUGUCCGGAUUUAUUGGGCGUAAAGAGCUCGUAGGCGGUUCAACAAGUCGGUCGUGAAAGUUCAGGGCUCAACCCUGAAAUGUCGAUCGAUACUGUUGUGACUAGGAUACGGUAGAGGUGAGUGGAAUUCCGAGUGUAGCGGUGAAAUGCGUAGAUAUUCGGAGGAACACCAAUUGCGAAGGCAGCUCACUGGGCCGCUAUCGACGCUGAGGAGCGAAAGCUAGGGGAGCAAACAGGAUUAGAUACCCUGGUAGUCCUAGCUGUAAACGAUGGAUACUAGAC